CAUUAAAGAAUCGCCCCGUUUUUUGAAAUGGGUUCUAUUCCCAAACCGUGUAUACAUACCUUUGUUGCUUUGGCAGGCCGCCUCCUAGGCGUCGGCUUCGGCUGACUGCGCCUGCCAGAGGACCCAAACUCGUUUGUUUAGUGAUGUCUGAGUACUAUAUAAUAGUUAAAACUUUCAACAACGGAUCUCUUGGUUCUGGCAUCGAUGAAGAACGCAGCGAAAUGCGAUAAGUAAUGUGAAUUGCAGAAUUCAGUGAAUCAUCGAAUCUUUGAACGCACAUUGCGCCCCUUGGUAUUCCGAGGGGCAUGCCUGUUCGAGCGUCAUUAUAACCACUCAAGCCUCAGCUUGGUCUUGGGGUUCGCGGUUCCGCGGCCCUUAAAAUCAGUGGCGGUGCCGUCUGGCUCUAAGCGUAGUAAUUCUCUCGCUAUAGGGUUCCGGCGGUUACCUGUCAAAACCCCUCCAUUUUUUAUGGUUG
This 475-nucleotide ribosomal RNA is filed under the name uncultured fungus. RNAcentral describes it as "eukaryotic LSU rRNA". The stretch from base 170 to 323 matches the Rfam family "5.8S ribosomal RNA". The record is from RNAcentral. Lineage: Eukaryota; Fungi.